GACGAACGCUGGCGGCGUGCCUAAUACAUGCGAGUAGAACGCACAGUUUAUACCGUAGCUUGCUACACCAUAAACUGUGAGUUGCGAACGGGUGAGUAACGCGUAGGUAACCUGCCUGGUAGCGGGGGAUAACUAUUGGAAACGAUAGCUAAUACCGCAUAAUAUUGAUUAUUGCAUGAUAAUUGAUUGAAAGAUGCUAUUGCAUCACUACCAGAUGGACCUGCGUUGUAUUAGCUAGUAGGUGAGGUAACGGCUCACCUAGGCGACGAUACAUAGCCGACCUGAGAGGGUGAUCGGCCACACUGGGACUGAGACACGGCCCAGACUCCUACGGGAGGCAGCAGUAGGGAAUCUUCGGCAAUGGACGAAAGUCUGACCGAGCAACGCCGCGUGAGUGAAGAAGGGUUUCGGAUCGUAAAGCUCUGUUGUAAGAGAAGAACGGGUGUGAGAGUGGAAAGUUCACACUGUGACGGUAUCUUACCAGAAAGGGACGGCUAACUACGUG
This 505-nucleotide ribosomal RNA is filed under the name uncultured bacterium. RNAcentral describes it as "partial 16S ribosomal RNA". It matches the Rfam family "Bacterial small subunit ribosomal RNA", at positions 28 to 507 of the family's 1533-position model. The record is from RNAcentral.